RNAcentral lists this ribosomal RNA (468 nucleotides) under uncultured bacterium. RNAcentral describes it as "partial 16S ribosomal RNA". It matches the Rfam family "Bacterial small subunit ribosomal RNA", at positions 28 to 507 of the family's 1533-position model. The record is from RNAcentral.
GACGAACGCUGGCGGCGUGCUUAACACAUGCAAGUCGAACGGAAAGGCCCUGCUUUUGUGGGGUGCUCGCGUGGCGAAAGGGUGAGUAACACGUGAGUAACCUGCCCUUGACUUUGGGAUAACUUCAGGAAACUGGGGCUAAUACCGGAUAGGAGCUCCUGCUGCAUGGUGGGGGUUGGAAAGUUUCGGCGGUUGGGUAUGGACUCGACGCUUAUCAGCUUGUUGGUGGGGUAGUGGCUUACCAAGGCUUUGACGGGUAGCCGGCCUGAGAGGGUGACCGGCCACAUUGGGGCUGAGAUACGGCCCAGACUCAUACUGGAGGCAGCAGUGGGGAAUAUUGCACAAUGGGCGGAAGCCUGAUGCAGCAACGCCGCGUGCGGGAUGACGGCCUUCGGGUUGGAAACCGCUUUCGCCUGUGACGAAGCGUAAGUGACGGUAAUGGGUAAAGAAGCAACGGCUGACUACGUG